RNAcentral lists this ribosomal RNA (571 nucleotides) under Cellulomonas fimi. Its description in RNAcentral is "bacterial SSU rRNA". It matches the Rfam family "Bacterial small subunit ribosomal RNA", at positions 56 to 642 of the family's 1533-position model. Lineage: Bacteria; Bacillati; Actinomycetota; Actinomycetes; Micrococcales; Cellulomonadaceae. The record is from RNAcentral.
UGCAGUCGAACGGUGAUGGCCAGCUUGCUGGUCUGAUCAGUGGCGAACGGGUGAGUAACACGUGAGUAACCUGCCCCUGACUCUGGGAUAACUACCGGAAACGGUGGCUAAUACCGGAUAUGAGGUGCCUGGGCAUCUGGGCGCCUGGAAAGUUUUUCGGUCAGGGAUGGGCUCGCGGCCUAUCAGCUUGUUGGUGGGGUGAUGGCCUACCAAGGCGACGACGGGUAGCCGGCCUGAGAGGGCGACCGGCCACACUGGGACUGAGACACGGCCCAGACUCCUACGGGAGGCAGCAGUGGGGAAUAUUGCACAAUGGGCGCAAGCCUGAUGCAGCGACGCCGCGUGCGGGAUGACGGCCUUCGGGUUGUAAACCGCUUUCAGCAGGGAAGAAGCGCAAGUGACGGUACCUGCAGAAGAAGCGCCGGCUAACUACGUGCCAGCAGCCGCGGUAAUACGUAGGGCGCAAGCGUUGUCCGGAAUUAUUGGGCGUAAAGAGCUCGUAGGCGGUUUGUCGCGUCUGCUGUGAAAUCCUCAGGCUCAACCUGGGGCUUGCAGUGGGUACGGGCAGACU